GCUUUGAUUUACUCCAGAGGUUACUUCUAACUCAAAAUUUGCAAUUUGACGUUAAUUUCACGCAAGGGAUCGAACCUCGGGCGCCGUCCAGUGUUUUA
Molecule: vault RNA, 98 nt
Filed under: Astyanax mexicanus (Mexican tetra)
Lineage: Eukaryota; Metazoa; Chordata; Actinopteri; Characiformes; Acestrorhamphidae
Rfam family: Vault RNA
About the family: This family of RNAs are found as part of the enigmatic vault ribonucleoprotein complex. The complex consists of a major vault protein (MVP), two minor vault proteins (VPARP and TEP1), and several small untranslated RNA molecules.
Source: Rfam by way of RNAcentral